GGGCCCGUAGUUCAACGGUAGAACGGCGCAUUCGCAUUGCACAAAUGGGGGUUCAAUUCCCCCCGGGUCCA
This is a non-coding RNA of Candidatus Collierbacteria bacterium, 71 nucleotides long. NCBI's taxonomy places the organism in Bacteria, Candidatus Collieribacteriota. The record is from Rfam.